UCUCUCUCUCUCUCUCUUUCUCACACUCUGCGCGCGGCGCGUGUCGAGACCCUCCAGUCUUUUGGGCGUUCACGCAUCCGUUUCUCAAAUCAGUGGCACUUUACUGGACUAGCUAACUUUUGAAGAUGACAGUAGUUUCUACACUCUCUGACCGCGAAUGAGUUUCCUGUAGCUAAUAUAGACAUGGUUUUCCGUCACUUCAUCACGAUAACUGUUUCUUUUCUUCUCAGCAGCGGGACGGAAGCCACAAGCCCCGUGAAUGUGAGCGUGAAUGUGGAUGCCGUCCCUGUUGCUGGACGUCCCGAGGUUAUCUUGGCAACUUGCACAACUUACAGAACGAAGCCUGCUGCCGAGGUGUCAUGGAAUUUGGGUACUUUGUCUGAUUCUGUGAAGGUGUCAACCAACACUGUGAAACAUCUAGACAGGACGUUCACAGUCACAAGCAGUCUGAUUGCCACUCCAACUGUACAGAUGAAUCAACAACUUGUCCAAUGUGUGAUCAGACAUAGUGCGAUGAAAGAGCAACUGGAAGUUGAUCACAAGAUAAUUGUGCACUGUGAUUCACUCGGGUCACUGGUAAUGCUGGAAAUUCCUUCUCAUCCAGUAUCAACAUUUACAGAUCUUCCCCUUCAGUACUACACUAACUGUAAUCAUUGUCAGUAGGGAUGUCCUUGUUAGAUGAUGGAUCCACCUAAGCUGGUCUUUGUGAAAGCUUUCAAGAAUCACUGUAAUGCUGAGGUGUAUCAGUGUGAGGCAGAUGCCAAUCCUGCAGCUACACACUUCAGCUGGCACAGCACGCACCAGACUAUCCCUAAUGAUGCCAUAAAAACACAAGGAAAUAAACUCUACUUCUUGAAACUGACCUCUGACCUCAAUGGCCUGUAUACCUGUGAGGCUUCAAAUGAGUACGGAACAGGAAUCGGCUCACUCUACUGGAAAAAAGGAGAAAAGACAGAAGACGACCAUUCUGAGUUCUUUAUGCCUGAUGUAAUUUCAUAUUUUCUCAGUUUCAUCAAAGUCCCUUUAGGGAAACUCAGGAAUUAAAGCUGGCAAAAAUUAUAUUAUGCUUCUUAAAUUAAAAUCACACUAAAAUCUGUAUGAAGAAUUUAGAUGCAAAAAAGUUCAGUUUGAAAUUUUUGAAGGCAACAUAGAUGUAUCCUUCGCUGGGGUACUUGUAACUCUAGCCACAUUUACAUGUACACUUUUUUUUGUCAUUCCAAUUCAAAUCAUUCCAGUUGAAAGAUUCGGUGGACUGUUUACAUGUGCUGGUGCUUAGGAUUUUGGGACAUGCUAAGUAGCCUACAGUGACGUCAAAUACAAAUCACCAGAGGAUAAACACCCGUAUUUGCGUUAAUAUUUUUGAUAACUGCUUGCGCUUGCUUAGACUAAACGUUUCUAGUGUUUAUUUGAGCACUCAGUCAUGUGGCCACAACACGAUCACAUACACACUCAGAUAUCAUUAUGUCCGUCUUCUGUCAUACCACACACAGAACCAAUAUAGGUCUCAGCCAGCUGAUAAUUAUAUCAUCAUAUCACCCUAAUUUCUUAAUAUUAAAGCAUUAAGGGAAUUAACUGUAGCCUACGACCCUUUGUAAUGCUGCUUUGAAAUAAUUUGUAUUCUGAUACUAAAAAGUUUUACUGUACUUAAAUAGAACAAAUACACAAUUUCUCACAAAGUGUUGCUGAACAAUGAAUCAAAGGGGAAGUCUUUUAGGGGAAGACUUUUAGGGGAAGUCAUGGCCUAAUGGUUAGAGAGUUUGACUCCUAACCCUAGGGUUGUGAGUUCGAGCCUCGGGCCUUCAAUACCACGACUAAGGUGCCCUUGAGGUAGGCACCGAACCCCCAACU
This is an RNA transcript of Cyprinus carpio (common carp), 1848 nucleotides long. It is a transcript of the gene named nectin-3-like protein, with no coding region annotated. The record is from RefSeq and is a predicted model, not a curated record. The transcript has 6 exons. NCBI's taxonomy places the organism in Eukaryota, Metazoa, Chordata, Actinopteri, Cypriniformes, Cyprinidae.